Molecule: non-coding RNA, 128 nt
Filed under: bovine gut metagenome
Description: FMN riboswitch (RFN element)
Rfam family: FMN riboswitch aptamer (RFN element)
About the family: The RFN element is a highly conserved domain that is found frequently in the 5'-untranslated regions of prokaryotic mRNAs that encode for flavin mononucleotide (FMN) biosynthesis and transport proteins.
Source: RNAcentral
CUUCAGGGCAGGGUGCGAUUCCCGACCGGCGGUGAGCAGUUAUCAGCUGCAAGUCCGCGAACCGCACAGAGUGCGGCCGACCCGGUUCAAUUCCGGGACCGACGGUAAAGUCCGGAUGAAAGAAGGAG